UAACAACCUGGAAACAGAUGCUAAUACCGGAUAACAACAGAUGAUGCCUAUCAACUGUUUAAAAGAUGGUUCUGCUAUCACUCUUGGAUGGACCUGCGGUGCAUUAGCUAGUUGGUAGGGUAACGGCCUACCAAGGCGAUGAUGCAUAGCCGAGUUGAGAGACUGAUCGGCCACAUUGGGACUGAGACACGGCCCAAACUCCUACGGGAGGCAGCAGAA
This 219-nucleotide ribosomal RNA is filed under the name uncultured Lactobacillus sp. Its description in RNAcentral is "partial 16S ribosomal RNA". It matches the Rfam family "Bacterial small subunit ribosomal RNA", at positions 144 to 354 of the family's 1533-position model. The record is from RNAcentral. Lineage: Bacteria; Bacillati; Bacillota; Bacilli; Lactobacillales; Lactobacillaceae.